RNAcentral lists this ribosomal RNA (301 nucleotides) under uncultured bacterium. Its description in RNAcentral is "partial 16S ribosomal RNA". It matches the Rfam family "Bacterial small subunit ribosomal RNA", at positions 509 to 807 of the family's 1533-position model. The record is from RNAcentral.
CAGUAGCCGCGGUAAUACGUAGGGUGCAAGCGUUAAUCGGAAUUACUGGGCGUAAAGCGUGCGCAGGCGGUUAUAUAAGAAAGAUGUGAAAUCCCCGGGCUCAACCUGGGAACUGCAUUUGUGACUGUAUAGCUAGAGUACGGCAGAGGGGGAUGGAAUUCCGCGUGUAGCAGUGAAAUGCGUAGAUAUGCGGAGGAACACCGAUGGCGAAGGCAAUCCCCUGGGCCUGUACUGACGCUCAUGCACGAAAGCGUGGGGAGCAAACAGGAUUAGAUACCCCUGUAGUCCCUGUCUCUUAUAC